AGUGAACGCUGGCGGCGUGCUUAACGCAUGCAAGUCGAACGAGAACGGAAUAUAGCUUGCUAUAUUUGUCAGCUAAGUGGCGCACGGGUGAGUAAUGUAUAGAUAACCUGCCCUUAAGAAAGGAAUAACAGUUGGAAACGACUGCUAAUGCCCUAUAUGCCUUUAAUACAUAAGUAUGCAAGGGAAACGCUUUAGUGCUUAAGGAUGGGUCUGUAUGGUAUCAGCUUGUUGGUGAGGUAAUGGCUCACCAAGGCUAUGACGCCUAACUGGUUUGAGAGAAUGAGCAGUCACACUGGAACUUGGACACGUUCCAUACUCCUACGGGAGGCAGCAGUGGGGAAUAUUGCACAAUGGACGAAAGUCUGAUGCAGCAACGCCGCGUGGAGGAUGACACAUUUCGGUGCGUAAGCUCCUUUUAUAUAGGAAGAUAAUGACGGUACUAUAUGAAUAAGCACCGGCUAACUCCGUGCCAGCAGCCGCCGUAA
RNAcentral lists this ribosomal RNA (485 nucleotides) under uncultured bacterium. RNAcentral's name for it is "partial 16S ribosomal RNA". It matches the Rfam family "Bacterial small subunit ribosomal RNA", at positions 29 to 523 of the family's 1533-position model. The record is from RNAcentral.